CCUACGGGUGGCAGCAGUCGAGAAUCAUUCACAAUGGGGGAAACCCUGAUGGGGCGACGCCGCGUGGGGGAAUGAAGGUCUGCGGAUUGUAAACCCCUGUCAUGUGGGAGCAAAUUAAAAAGAUAGUACCACAAGAGGAAGAGACGGCUAACUCUGGGACAGCAGCCGCGGUAAUACAGAGGGCUCAAGCGUUGUUUGGAAUCACUGGGCGUAAAGCGUGCGUAGGCUGUUGCGUAAGUCGUGUGUGAAAGGCGCGGGCUCAACCCGCGGACGGCACGUGAUACUGCGAGACUAGAGUAAUGGAGGGGGAACCGGAAUUCUCGGUGUAGCCGUGAAAUGCGUAGAUAUCGGGAGGAACACUCGUGGCGAAGGCGGGUUCCUGAACAUUAACUGACGCUGAGGCACGAAGGCCAGGGGAGCGAAAAGGAUUAGAUACCCUUGUAGUC
Molecule: ribosomal RNA, 446 nt
Filed under: uncultured bacterium
Lineage: Bacteria
Description: partial 16S ribosomal RNA
Rfam family: Bacterial small subunit ribosomal RNA
Source: RNAcentral